GAUGAACGCUGGCGGCGUGCUUAACACAUGCAAGUCGAACGGAAAGGCCCAAGCUUGCUUGGGUACUCGAGUGGCGAACGGGUGAGUAACACGUGGGUGAUCUGCCCUUCACUUCGGGAUAAGCCUGGGAAACUGGGUCUAAUACCGGAUAGGACCUCAUUUUGCAUGGUGUGGUGGAGAGUUUUUCGGUGUGGGAUUAGCUGGUGGCCUAUCGGCUUGUUGGUGGGGUAAUGGCCUACCAAGCCGUCUACGGGUAGCCGGCCACGGAGGGUGUACGGCGACACUGGGACUGAGGGGAGGCCCAGGCACCUAAGGGAGGCAGCAGUGGGGAAGAUUGCACAAUGGGCGCAGGCCUGAUGAAGCGGGGCCGCGUGGGGGAUGACGGCCUUCGUGUUGUAAACUACAUUCGCUAGGGACGAAGCGUUAUGUGACGGUACCUGGAGAAGAAGCACCGGCUAACUACGUG
RNAcentral lists this ribosomal RNA (466 nucleotides) under uncultured bacterium. Its description in RNAcentral is "partial 16S ribosomal RNA". It matches the Rfam family "Bacterial small subunit ribosomal RNA", at positions 28 to 507 of the family's 1533-position model. The record is from RNAcentral.